Molecule: unclassified non-coding RNA, 264 nt
Filed under: plant metagenome
Description: partial contains small subunit ribosomal RNA, internal transcribed spacer 1, and 5.8S ribosomal RNA
Source: RNAcentral
GUUUCCGUAGGUGAACCUGCGGAAGGAUCAUUAUUGUAUAACCGAGGUGCGAGGGCUGUCGCUGACCCGAAAGGUCGUGCACGCCCGAGUGCCCUCACACACAUCCAUCUCACCCCUAUGUGCACCACCGCGUGGGUCCCCCUUUGGCUUGUUCGGAGGGGGGCUUACGUUUUCACACAAACUUUGUAUGUAGUGUAGAAUGUAUUUUUUGUUUUUGCGAUCACGCAAUCAAUACAACUUUCAACAACGGAUCUCUUGGCUCUC